GACGAACGCUGGCGGCGCGCUUAACACAUGCAAGUCGAACGGAAAGGCCUGCUUUCCCUUGUGGAUUGCGGGUACUCGAGUGGCGAACGGGUGAGUAACACGUGAGUGAUCUGCCCCCAACUUGGGUAUAAGCCUGGGAAACUGGGUCUAAUUCCCGAUAGGACUGCAGGGUGGUGCCUGUGGUGGAAAACGAUUUUCUAGUGGUUGGGGAUGAGCUCGCGGCCUAUCAGCUUGUUGGUGGGGUAAUGGCCUACCAAGGCGGCGACGGGUAGCCGGCCUGAGAGGGUGGACGGCCACAUUGGGACUGAGAUACGGCCCAGACUCCUACGGGGGGCAGCAGUGGGGAAUAGUGCACAAUGGGCGGAAGCCUGAUGCAGCGACGCCGCGUGGGGGAUGACGGCCUUCGGAUUGUAAACUCCUUUCGACCGCGAGGAAGCCACCUGGUUGGAAGGGUGGUGACAGUAGUGGUAGAAGAAGCACCGGCUAACUACGUG
This 494-nucleotide ribosomal RNA is filed under the name uncultured bacterium. RNAcentral describes it as "partial 16S ribosomal RNA". It matches the Rfam family "Bacterial small subunit ribosomal RNA", at positions 28 to 507 of the family's 1533-position model. The record is from RNAcentral.